RNAcentral lists this ribosomal RNA (1962 nucleotides) under human gut metagenome. RNAcentral's name for it is "bacterial LSU rRNA". It matches the Rfam family "Bacterial large subunit ribosomal RNA", at positions 1 to 1975 of the family's 2925-position model. The record is from RNAcentral.
GAAAGUAAUGAAGGGCGUACGGUGGAUGCCUAGGCUCUUACAGGCGAUGAAGGACGUGAUAAGCUGCGAAAAGCCGCGGUGAGGCGCAAAUGGCCCUUGACCCGCGGAUCUCCGAAUGGGACAACCCAAUAUCUUGAAGAGAUAUUAUCCCGCCGGUGCGGGAGGCGAACGCGGGGAACUGAAACAUCUUAGUACCCGCAGGAAAAGAAAAUAAAGAAUGAUUCCCCCAGUAGUGGCGAGCGACCGGGGAAGAGCCCAAACCGACGUUGUCUCGGCAUCGUCGGGGUUGUAGGACCGCGCCAUCGCAAGAAAGGCCGUGAGUGGAAGCGACUGGAAAGCCGCGCCAUAGAGGGUGACAGCCCCUUACACGAAGCAGCCUGAAGCGUAGCGGACUCCUGAGUAGCGCGGGACACGAGUAAUCCUGUGUGAAUCCGCCGGGCCCAUCCGGCAAGGCUAAAUACUCGUAAGAGACCGAUAGUGAACCAGUACCGUGAGGGAAAGGUGAAAAGGACCCCUUGCAGGGGAGUGAAAGAGUUCCUGAAACCGUACGCCUACAAGCGGUCGGAGCAUCUUGAAUGAUGUGACGGCGUGCCUUUUGCAUAAUGAACCUACGAGUUGCCGUCACCAGCGAGGUUAAGUGCGACGACGCACCGAGCCGCAGCGGAAGCGAGUCUUAAAAGGGCGCGAUAGUUGGUGGAGGCAGACGCGAAACCGAGUGAUCUACACUUGUCCAGGAUGAAGUCCCGGUAACACGGGAUGGAGGUCCGCACCAAUAAGCGUUGAAAAGCUUCUGGAUGAGGUGAGUGUAGGAGUGAAAGGCCAAUCAAACUCGGAGAUAGCUCGUACUCCCCGAAAGGCAUUUAGGUGCCGCCUGUGGCGUUCCCGACGUGAGGUAGAGCGACUGAUAGGAUGCGAGGGCUUCACCGCCUAUCAAGUCCUGACAAACUCCGAAUGCACGUCGGCCAAGCCAUGGAGUAAGGGCAUGGGUGCUAAGGUCCGUGCCCGAGAGGAGAAGAAUCCAGACCACCGGCUAAGGUCCCGAAAUACUGGUUAAGUUAGACUAACGCAGUCCGGCCCCCAAGACAGCUAGGAUGUUGGCUUGGAAGCAGCCAUUCAUUCAAAGAGUGCGUAACAGCUCACUAGUCGAGGAGCUGGGCGUGGAUAAUAAUCGGGUAUAAAACCAGUUACCGAAGCCGUGGGAUGCUCAAGCAUCGGUAGGGGAGCAUUGCAUGCGGCUUGGAAGGCGGGGCGCGAGCCCCUCUGGAGCGCAUGGAAACGCAAAUGUAGGUAUAAGUAACGACAAGGGGGGUGGGAUGCCCCCCCGCCGAAAGACCAAGGUUUCCUGAACAACGCUAAUCGGUUCAGGGUCAGUCGGGUCCUAAGCAUAAGCCGUAUGGCGAGGGCGAUGGAUGAAACGGUUAAUAUUCCGUUACUGUCUUGGUGUGUGACGCGGCGACGGAGUAGUGACACGGCCGCCUCCUGACGGAAAAGGGGGUUGAAGCGCAAAGGUGUCGAGGAAGGCAGGCAAAUCCACCUUCCGAGCCGAAGCGCGAUAGUACGCCGGGCCCUUUGGGGCAAGGCGAUAGUGCCGGUAAUCAGACUUCCAAGAAAACCCGCUAAACUUCAGCACCAAGUCACCCGUACUCCAAACGGACACACGUGGUCGGGUAGAAUAUACUAAGGCGCUUGGGAGAUUCACGGUUAAGGAACUAGGCAAAUUGACCCCGUACCUUCGGAAUAAGGGGUCCUCGCUUUUGCGAGGCGCAGAGAAUAGGUCCAGGCAACUGUUUAACAAAAACACAGGGCUGUGCCAAUUUGAAAGAAGAAGUAUACAGCCUGACACCUGCCCGGUGCCGGAAGGUUAAGAGGAGAGCUCAUCAGCGAUGAGAAGGCUUGAAUUGAAGCCCCGGUAAACGGCGGCCGUAACUAUAACGGUCCUAAGGUAGCGAAAUUCCUUGUCGG